RNAcentral lists this long non-coding RNA (615 nucleotides) under Helianthus annuus (common sunflower). RNAcentral's name for it is "sRNA HanXRQr2_Chr17g0800901". Lineage: Eukaryota; Viridiplantae; Streptophyta; Magnoliopsida; Asterales; Asteraceae. The record is from RNAcentral.
AGCCAUUACCCUGUUCCCUUUUGACGGCUGGCAACGAACGAAGACGGCGCCGCCCCUCAUGGCGGCAGUGGUGAACCGGAACUACGGAAGCAUCGCCCCUCCCUUUACUCGUUCUUCCGACGAUGGUGACUAGAUUAGAUGAAGAGGACGAUGAUUCAAGGAGCCGACGGCCGGAGACGCCGCUCACGGCGGCGGUGGCGGUGUUUUCUUCUUCCUCGAUGAUGAUUAUGGAGCUGUGUAGAUGACGAUUCAGCAGUAAGUCCUGAACGGGUUCAGACCUUGUUCAGACUCGGGUUCGAGUUUGGUUCGGGUCAGCCUUGGGCGUAAGUCCGGUUCAAACUGGUUGCAGUCAAUAGUUCGGUGUUGCUCGAUACAGCUUUGGACGGACGUUGCAAUCGGAUGGAGUGCGUGGUUCGUAAAGAAUCCGGGUCAUCUAGUGGACAAGCCGGGGGUGAUACACGUUUAAAGGGUGCGCUUUGAAGGUACGACUCGUGGUCAUGGAUGUUGAUCAAGCAAUGGGGUGCAAGAACUGAACACACAUUUUGAAUGCUUCCGCGAUUAUCUAUUCAAGCUAGAUGUUGAUGUUGUUUUUGAAACAUUGUUAAAUACUAUGUU